RNAcentral lists this ribosomal RNA (253 nucleotides) under uncultured bacterium. Its description in RNAcentral is "partial 16S ribosomal RNA". It matches the Rfam family "Bacterial small subunit ribosomal RNA", at positions 524 to 776 of the family's 1533-position model. The record is from RNAcentral.
UACGUAGGUGGCAAGCGUUGUCCGGAAUUAUUGGGCGUAAAGCGCGCGCAGGCGGUCCUUUAAGUCUGCUGUGAAAGCCCACGGCUCAACCGUGGAGGGUCAUUGGAAACUGGGGGACUUGAGUGCAGAAGAGGAAAGCGGAAUUCCACGUGUAGCGGUGAAAUGCGUAGAGAUGUGGAGGAACACCAGUGGCGAAGGCGGCUUUCUGGUCUGUAACUGACGCUGAGGCGCGAAAGCGUGGGGAGCAAACAGG